RNAcentral lists this unclassified non-coding RNA (203 nucleotides) under Vishniacozyma victoriae. RNAcentral describes it as "sequence contains 18S rRNA gene, ITS1, 5.8S rRNA gene, ITS2, 28S rRNA gene". The stretch from base 1 to 56 matches the Rfam family "Eukaryotic small subunit ribosomal RNA", at positions 1777 to 1831 of the family's 1831-position model. Lineage: Eukaryota; Fungi; Basidiomycota; Tremellomycetes; Tremellales; Bulleribasidiaceae. The record is from RNAcentral.
UGGAAGUAAAAAGUCGUAACAAGGUUUCCGUAGGUGAACCUGCGGAAGGAUCAUUAAUAGUGCCCUCUGAUGCAAAUCAUUGGGUUAGAUCUGCUCUCUUCGCAAGAAGAGGGUUUCCAUACACACCGUGAACUGUGGCUUCGGCCAUCACAAACUGUUAGUAAUGAAUGUAAUAUCAUAACAAAAACAAAACUUUUAACAAC